ACCGCUGUUUUAACAGGUACAAGCUUUAUAGGAUUCAGGCCAGACUUCAUUUCCUGGGCGUUUGUCUUCCAUGGCUCUGUUGUCCGCGGUCGAGUACAACGUGAGACGAAGCCCUGUUAACCACGUCGUCGCCCCCACUGUGGGAGACUCUCCGCCGUCGAAGAUGCUCCGCCCAUGAGUCCCGCGCUCCAUGUUCCCAGUUUCAUUCGGACAAGACACCC
This 221-nucleotide long non-coding RNA is filed under the name Spirodela polyrhiza (greater duckweed). RNAcentral describes it as "long non-coding RNA (SPOL_LNC000337)". The record is from RNAcentral. Lineage: Eukaryota; Viridiplantae; Streptophyta; Magnoliopsida; Alismatales; Araceae.